ACUCCCUCACCUGCUCUCUCCCUGUCACUCACCCAGAAGCUCUUUGCCCCUCUCACCCACGAAGCUCGCUUCACACCACGCCCACGAAGCUCUGUGUCACGUCAUGCCCAUCGCCAACCAGUUGUCUGACGUCCACGACCAGCCAGAUUUGGUACUAUUGGUGUUCAAUUUUUGAUUUUUUUCGUGGAUCUUACAUGUAGAUUUUGUUUGUUCUUUUAUUUAUUCAAUCUAUAGGAUUUGAUGAAGUAUGUCUAUGUGGGAUUUUUUUUUCAAUUAUUAUAUGCUAGUCUAACGAACUCUCAUGCUUCUGUUCUAUAUUUUUUCUUUGUUAUGAUGUUAAAGUGUUAUAUUCCAGGGUCUAGUAAGCACCAUUAUGUGUUUAAAUUUAUUUUGGGGGCCUGCAUGCAUGCAUGUUUAAUUCAUGGACAUACCUGGGGAUUAUUGUUUGGUAGCUGAGAAAUGAAAUAGAAAAAUAAGCUUUUCAAUGGUUUUAAAGUCACGUAUGGAAUGAUAUAUCUUAUAGGGUUUGGGUAAUUGGAACUUAGAUCCUUUGAUUUAUUUUUCAUAAGCUUAUUCAGAAAAAAUGCAGAAUCUUAUGCUAGUAGUCUAAUUAUUUUCUGGGUUAUUCUAAUUAAUUUCUAUUAGGUUUAGGAUGAUCAAUAUACAAGUCAUAUAAUAGAAAAAUAGAAUCCAUCCUUUUCUUUUUCUCUUUAUGCUGCUAAUUUGUAUUUGAUUUUUGUCAAAUGUAGAAACCUAAUGGCUCAUCAUACCUAUUACGUUGUAUUUGAGGCACGUCAGCGUGGCAUAUAUGAACAACCAAUUCCCUACUUCAAUUACGCUAGAAGUUGGGAAGACUAACGUGGAAACAUGUGAUAAGGGUGUACAAACUGAUGAAGUCAAGAAUGAUUAUUGGAAUUUCUGGAUUAUUUUUUCCAAUAUGUUGUGUACUCUAGG
RNAcentral lists this long non-coding RNA (954 nucleotides) under Citrus maxima (pomelo). RNAcentral's name for it is "long non-coding RNA (CMAX_LNC001981)". Lineage: Eukaryota; Viridiplantae; Streptophyta; Magnoliopsida; Sapindales; Rutaceae. The record is from RNAcentral.